UUCGUACGUUACACUGAACAG
Molecule: microRNA, 21 nt
Filed under: Drosophila virilis
Lineage: Eukaryota; Metazoa; Arthropoda; Insecta; Diptera; Drosophilidae
Description: dvi-miR-9540-5p
Source: miRBase by way of RNAcentral